This 1696-nucleotide ribosomal RNA is filed under the name Cynoglossus itinus. RNAcentral's name for it is "16S ribosomal RNA". It matches the Rfam family "Bacterial large subunit ribosomal RNA". Lineage: Eukaryota; Metazoa; Chordata; Actinopteri; Pleuronectiformes; Cynoglossidae. The record is from RNAcentral.
CACUAACUAACUAGUCCACCCACUAAAGAACAAACCUUACACACAUGAACCCCAAUGAAUUUAACAAAAUGAAAUAAAACAUUCUACACCUCAGUAAAGGAGAUUAAAAAGGAAAUAAGAACAAUAAAAUUAGUACCGCGAGGGAAUGUUGAAAUAGAGAUGAAAAAGCCCAGUGAAGAUUGAAAAAGCAGAGACUAUACCUCGUACCUUUUGCAUCAUGAUUUAGCAAGAGAAUUUUAGGCAAGGGGCACCUUAGUCUAAAAUACCCGAAACUAAAUGAGCUACUUCAAGCCAGCAUGUACCAUUCAGUGCCUACCCGUCUCUGUCGCAAAAGAUGUGGGGAGAGCUUCAAGUAGGGGUGACAGACCUAUCGAAUUUAGUAAUAGCUGGUUUUCUGAGAGAUAAAUAUUAGUUUAGCCUCUAAAAUUCUCCAUUCCUGAGCCUCAAAACAAUUUAAAUUCUAUUAAAACUAUAAGGAUAAAGAGAAGUUUAUAGAGUUAAUCAAACGGGUUUCAGCCCCUUUGAUCAGAGCUACAACUCCUCCAGCAGGGUAAAGAUCAUAUUAAUUAAGGUUAAUUACUCAUGUGGGCCUAAAAGCAGCCACCUCCUCAGAAAAGCGUCACAGCUCAAAUAAAACACCCCCAAUAAUACCGUAUAUAACUCCUAGCCCGCAUACAUUUUUAUCAGAAUAUCUUAUUUUUAUAUAAGAGAAAUUAUGCUAAUAUUAGUAAUAAGAGAUUAAGACCCUCUCCUUGCACAAGUGUAACUCACAAUGGACCCGCCACCGAGAGCUAACGACCCUUAAACAAAAGAAGGAAGAGGGGGUAAAAUAAAAUACUAGAAAACCCCCCUACCCGACCCGUUAACCCUACACUGGAGUACAAUAAAGGAAAGAUGACAAACGAAAGAAGGAAUUCAGCAAACCUUAUCCCCGCCUGUUUACCAAAAACACCGCCUCUUGAAACAACUAUAUAAGAGGUAGAGCCUGCCCAAUGAUAUUAAUUUAAUGGCCGCAGUAUUUUGACUGUGCUAAGGUAGCGUAAUCAUUUGCCCUUUAAAUGAGGGCCAGUAUGAACGGUUUGACGAGGGCUUAACUGUCUCCUUUCGUCCAUCAAUGAAAUUGAUCUCUCCGUGCAAAAGCGGAGAUAUGUCUAUAAGACGAGAAGACCCUGUGGAGCUUAAGAUAAAACUUUAGACCCCGCCAAAAAUUAUAUAAUACAGGACAAAGCCAAAAGUACCUAAGGAGUAUCUUCAGUUGGGGCGACUGCUGGGAAAACAAAACCCCCGCGAAGACUGAGAAAACCUAACUCUUACACUCUAGAACCACCCUUCAAAAUAAUAGAACUUCUAACUUUUACUGAUCCGACCAGUUGAUCAACGAAUAAAGUUACCCCAGGGAUAACAGCGCAAUCCCCUUUUAGAGCCCUUAUCGAAAAGGGGGUUUACGACCUCGAUGUUGGACCAGGGCAUCCUAAUGGUGUAGCCGCUAUUAAGGGUUCGUUUGUUCAACGAUUAAAGCCCUACGUGAUCUGAGUUCAGACCGGAGUAAUCCAGGUCAGUUUCUAUCUAUAAAUUAUUUUUCUCUAGUACGAAAGGACCCAGAAGAAGAGGCCCAUGCUUCAAGUAAGCCUCCUUUUAAGUUAAUGAACCAAGCUCAAUUAACUCUAAGAAAUAACAAAUGAUCAAAGAUAAUGAU